UACGGGGGGGGCAAGCGUUGUUCGGAAUCACUGGGCUUAAAGCGUGUGUAGGCGGAUCGUUAAGUGUCUUGUGAAAUCCCACGGCUCACCCGUGGAACGGCUGGGCAUACUGGCGAUCUUGGGCCAACUAGGGGCAACUGGAACAAGCGGUGGAGCGGUGAAAUGCGUAGAUAUCGCUUGGAACGCCAAAGGUGAAAACAGGUUGCUGGGGUUGUGCCGACGCUGAGACACGAAAGCCAGGGGAGCAAACGGG
Molecule: ribosomal RNA, 253 nt
Filed under: uncultured bacterium
Lineage: Bacteria
Description: partial 16S ribosomal RNA
Rfam family: Bacterial small subunit ribosomal RNA
Source: RNAcentral